This 612-nucleotide non-coding RNA is filed under the name unclassified sequences. RNAcentral describes it as "ROOL RNA". It matches the Rfam family "ROOL RNA". From Rfam's summary of the family: Firmicutes, Fusobacteria (1 example), Tenericutes (1 example). Environment (Cow rumen (57)) The record is from Rfam by way of RNAcentral.
UCUGAAUAUCUUCAUAAUCACAAACCGUGUGCAUAAAGCCCCUGACAGGGCUUCACGGACUGACGUGUGACGGAACGCCACGGAUAUGACCGAUAGGGCAUUGAAGUAACAGAGCGUCUGGGAUGAUGGUAACUGAAUUUCGGGGAGUACGUAAGACACUUGGUACAACUCCAGAGCGUCAGGUGGGAUAGAAGGAUGAGGGAAAAGGCAUGGUGUUAGGGACUGUUCCUGUAUAAUAGACGACCACGGUGUGGGAAUAACCCGUGAAUAUCAUAAGGCUUUGCGGGCUUAUGGGGAUAGCGGGAAAUAUGCAGGCGGGAAAUGUGCGGCUGAGACGGGGGAAACUUCGGGUAUAAAGUCUGACACCUGUACACUGGCACAAGUCCGUACAAAUUUCUUAUUAUAGAGUGAAUAAUAAUAAAUCUGAAUGUUGUGCUGGUGCUGUGGGUAUAAAAGAAUCCCAUGCGUACUAGGCUGAACCGAAAGGUUCAGUUCGUAAGGAAGUGUAGGCGGUAGCUCCCCUAUGCUCAGACCUUGCGAUACGGUGGCUGAAAAUUCCUGUGUCCUUUGAAGAUACGCUGAAUAAAAGGCGUGUGGUUGUGGAGAUGUUCA